This 258-nucleotide long non-coding RNA is filed under the name Linum usitatissimum (flax). RNAcentral describes it as "long non-coding RNA (LUSI_LNC000732)". Lineage: Eukaryota; Viridiplantae; Streptophyta; Magnoliopsida; Malpighiales; Linaceae. The record is from RNAcentral.
GGAAGUCCAUCCUAUAGAUGAAGAUCCCAUCGAUUUCGCUGAAAUCAAAGAUAGACCGGAAGCUUAUCCUUUCGACAUGUUACUCGAUUCGAACCUUCGCCACAUUACCAUUCCGGAAGAGAGCGACUUCCAGAGGCAAGCUUCUCAGAAGUCAUUGAAUAGAUUGAACUGCAUUCGCAACGACGACAAUGCAUCACAAGAUGUGGAUGAAUCUGGGGUAACACCGCAAGCUAGAAAACUGACCAGAAUGCUCAGUGG